Molecule: ribosomal RNA, 356 nt
Filed under: uncultured bacterium
Lineage: Bacteria
Description: partial 16S ribosomal RNA
Rfam family: Bacterial small subunit ribosomal RNA
Source: RNAcentral
CCUACGGGUGGCAGCAGUGAGGAAUAUUGGUCAAUGGACGCAAGUCUGAACCAGCCAUGCCGCGUGCAGGAAGACGGCUCUAUGAGUUGUAAACUGCUUUUGUACGAGGGUAAAAGCAGAUACGCGUAGCUGUCUGAAAGUAGCGUACGAAUAAGGAUCGGCUAACUCCGUGCCAGCAGCCGCGGUAAUACGGAGGAGUCAAGCGUUAUCCGGAUUUAUUGGGUUUAAAGGGUGCGUAGGCGGUCGGAUCAGUUAGAGGUGAAAUCGCGGGGCUCCACGUCGGAACUGCCUCUGAUACUGUUCGUCUCGAGCGUAGUUGCGGUAGGCGGAAUGUGUGGUGUAGCGGUGAACUGCUU